AGAACCGUGAGGUUGUGUCUGAAGGAAGCCGCGAGCAAAACUGCGAGCUGAUGACCAAGAACAUCUUAUGAGGCGUAGGCACUGGGAGCCUGUCCGAGAAUGUAUGAUCUACUUCGGACGUGAGAUUUUAGGUCAGAUAUUUUGAUCAUUAGAGGCGAAUAGUUGUUCUUCUUUAACGAAAAUGAUCGGAAUAGCUGGCCAAAAGAUCGCGCC
Non-coding RNA from Chromatiales bacterium (ex Bugula neritina AB1), 213 nucleotides. Lineage: Bacteria; Pseudomonadati; Pseudomonadota; Gammaproteobacteria; Chromatiales. The record is from Rfam.